GCGGGGUACGUGUGCGUUUGUGUGAAGCAUGUUCGAAACGCAAGUCACGUAAAAAGAACGAAGGAAAGUGGUUUUGGUUUUGGUUCUCUUGGCCUCAUAAUAAUUCAUAUUCUUCACUGAAUUGGAUGUUUUAUUCUGCGUCGAGCACUGCCAUUUGUCCCACAUCGAAUCGCCUUUGCCUCUUCUUUCUCACUUCGAACUUGGAUUGGAUACAUUAUCCCGUCUACAUUGCAUGUAUAUGGUCCCACAUUGCUCAAAAUUUCAUACCUCCACAUCAUCUCUAUAUAUUUCUGACCCAUCUGUCAUAUUUUCAACUCAGUUUCGUACUUUUAAACUUAUCCUACGUAAUUAUAUGUGUACAAAGCAUUAUCUAGUGAAUGAUGAAUCUGUUAAUACUUAAAUGUUUCUUGAGUUAAUUUAUGAUUAGAGAAAGAUUCAAAGCAUGACAUAAAUUUUUAUGGAAGAAAUAUUUUUGAAAGAGUAGAUUAUUUAACGCCAAUUUAUUUUUUUCUUCGAGAAGUGUGGAACCACAAUUUGAAACGAAUAUAGAAUCUAUACC
Molecule: long non-coding RNA, 559 nt
Filed under: Vigna radiata
Lineage: Eukaryota; Viridiplantae; Streptophyta; Magnoliopsida; Fabales; Fabaceae
Description: long non-coding RNA (VRAD_LNC003212)
Source: RNAcentral